Camelus dromedarius (Arabian camel) is the source of this 1175-nucleotide long non-coding RNA. RefSeq lists it as uncharacterized. The record is from RefSeq and is a predicted model, not a curated record. Lineage: Eukaryota; Metazoa; Chordata; Mammalia; Artiodactyla; Camelidae. The transcript has 3 exons.
CUGACCAGGACUGGCCCCAGGAACCAAUGAUUCGAGGGCUGCUCCCUCUGGGAUGGGGUGUGUCCAUGCCUCUGAGGAAGAACUUCCAGCCAGAAACUUAAUCACAACUUUCAGGUCUGAGGUCCUGUCACCAGGAGUGGCUGAAGACAAGGAAUAUUCUUCAAGGCAAGGAAAACUCAUGAAUGAGCACCCGCAGAACUUGACAAGAAAGAGCAGAACACUGCACAAAUGACACACCUAAUGGCCUCUGAGGUCAUCAGGUGGCAUCUUGGCCCUUUUCACUGCCGUCCACCCUACAUCAGGCCGAGGAAAGCUCCACCCUCACUAAAGGCCACAUGACCACAGCCAGAAUCAAGAGAAAACCAGGUGCCUUACCGCGAUCAGGGCUGAGUUCCUCUGGUCCCCGGGGGUCGAAGCCGGUGGCUGCUGCUCCCCUUCGAUCCCACUGAUCCCACUGCUGCCACCAUUAUUGCUGCUGUCCAGCAGGUGCUGCUGGUGGUGAUGGUGGUAGUCUGGCGGGGGCGGCGGGGCUGCUUGCGUGGCCGCUUGGGAGGCUGUGGGAGGUGCGGCAGGUGGUGGUGGAGGGGCUGUCGUCGUGGUGGCCGCGGUGGCAGUGGCCUUGGAGUGUUUGCCGGCCUUCCUCGCCCCCUGGCCAUGCUGUACAAGGCUCAGGAGCUGCAAGGUGCUCUCUCUUUCCCUAUCUGAGCUCUCAGCCCUACCACGUUCAUAGCGUCCUUCACAGCUCAGGUGGUGCUGGCGGCAAACGGCGAUUCGAGCCCGAAGGCGCUCCACGAUGGCACUGUGCACUCUCGGGGUGACAGAGCCCCCUCCAAGGAGCCCCGCCCCAGGGGCCCCCCCUAACCCUCCGGUGGGGGCCUGCGGGGGCGCUGUGUCCCCCAUCUUACUGGACACAAUGAUUGCUGCCUCCGGGAUGGUGAAGUGGAAGGAGGCUAUUGCUGGUUACUGCAGGUUUUACAGGGGCACCAUGACCUGAUCCACGGGAACAGCUGCAAGAUCAAAGAAUUCCUACAGCAAGAAGUUUGCAACAACCAACAACACCCUCUCCCUUUUUUAGUAUAAAAGGAGCCUUAAUUCUGACUUGGGGAAGAUGAUUCUCUAAGACAUUACUCUGCCAUCUUCUGAGCUGAAUAAAGUCGCUAUUCCUUGCCCCAAUA